CUACGGGGGGCUCCAGUGGGGAAUAUUGCACAAUGGGCGCAAGCCUGAUGCAGCCAUGCCGCGUGUAUGAAGAAGGCCUUCGGGUUGUAAAGUACUUUCAGCGGGGAGGAAGGGAGUAAAGUUAAUACCUUUGCUCAUUGACGUUACCCGCAGAAGAAGCACCGGCUAACUCCGUGCCAGCAGCCGCGGUAAUACGGAGGGUGCAAGCGUUAAUCGGAAUUACUGGGCGUAAAGCGCACGCAGGCGGUUUGUUAAGUCAGAUGUGAAAUCCCCGGGCUCAACCUGGGGACUGCAUCUGAUACUGGCAAGCUUGAGUCUCGUAGAGGGGGGUAGAAUUCCAGGUGUAGCGGUGAAAUGCGUAGAGAUCUGGAGGAAUACCGGUGGCGAAGGCGGCCCCCUGGACGAAGACUGACGCUCAGGUGCGAAAGCGUGGGGAGCAAACAGGAUUAGAUACCCUUGUAGUC
Molecule: ribosomal RNA, 464 nt
Filed under: uncultured bacterium
Lineage: Bacteria
Description: partial 16S ribosomal RNA
Rfam family: Bacterial small subunit ribosomal RNA
Source: RNAcentral